CUGAACCGCCAACACGAGCUGUUGCUGGUCUCCAAACGGGGGCACGUGCACGCUCUGUUUGUGCAUCCACUCACACCUGUGCACCUUCUGUAGUUCUGUGGCCUGGGGGACUCGUCCUCCUGCUGUGGUUCUGCAUCUUUACACUCACGCUGUGAUAAAGUCUAAUGGAAUGCAUGCCGCGUUUAACGCAAUACAAUA
This 198-nucleotide unclassified non-coding RNA is filed under the name uncultured Tomentella. Its description in RNAcentral is "sequence contains ITS1". The record is from RNAcentral. Lineage: Eukaryota; Fungi; Basidiomycota; Agaricomycetes; Thelephorales; Thelephoraceae.